ACUGACCGAUAGUGAACCAGUACCGUGAGGGAAAGGCGAAAAGAACCCCUGUGAGGGGAGUGAAAUAGAUCCUGAAACCGCAUGCAUACAAGCAGUGGGAGCACCUUCGUGGUGUGACUGCGUACCUUUUGUAUAAUGGGUCAGCGACUUAUAUUCAGUAGCAAGGUUAACCGUAUAGGGGAGCCGUAGAGAAAUCGAGUCUUAAUAGGGCGUUUAGUUGCUGGGUAUAGACCCGAAACCAGGCGAUCUAUCCAUGAGCAGGUUGAAGGUUGGGUAACACUAACUGGAGGACCGAACCCACUGUCGUUGAAAAGCCAGGGGAUGACUUGUGGAUAGGGGUGAAAGGCUAAUCAAGCCUGGUGAUAGCUGGUUCUCCCCGAAAGCUAUUUAGGUAGCGCCUCGGACGAAUACCAUAGGGGGUAGAGCACUGUUUCGGCUAGGGGGUCAUCCCGACUUACCAAACCGAUGCAAACUCCGAAUACCUAUGAGUACUAUCCGGGAGACAGACUGCGGGUGCUAACGUCCGUAGUCAAGAGGAAAACAAUCCAGACCGCCAGCUAAGGCCCCAAAAUCAUAGUUAAGUGGGAAACGAUGUGGGAAGGCAUAGACAGCUAGGAGGUUGGCUUAGAAGCAGCCACCCUUUAAAGAAAGCGUAAUAGCUCACUAGUCGAGUCGGCCUGCGCGGAAGAUGUAACGGGGCUAAAA
RNAcentral lists this ribosomal RNA (705 nucleotides) under Acinetobacter baumannii. RNAcentral describes it as "partial 23S ribosomal RNA". It matches the Rfam family "Bacterial large subunit ribosomal RNA", at positions 479 to 1186 of the family's 2925-position model. The record is from RNAcentral. Lineage: Bacteria; Pseudomonadati; Pseudomonadota; Gammaproteobacteria; Moraxellales; Moraxellaceae.